GAUGAACGCUGGCGGCGUGCCUAAUACAUGCAAGUCGAGCGAACGGACGAGAAGCUUGCUUCUCUGAUGUUAGCGGCGGACGGGUGAGUAACACGUGGAUAACCUACCUAUAAGACUGGGAUAACUUCGGGAAACCGGAGCUAAUACCGGAUAAUAUUUUGAACCGCAUGGUUCAAAAGUGAAAGACGGUCUAGCUGUCACUUAUAGAUGGAUCCGCACUGCAUUAGCUAGUUGGUAAGGUAACGGCUUACCAAGGCAACGAUGCAUAGCCGACCUGAGAGGGUGAUCGGCCACACUGGAACUGAGACACGGUCCAGACUCCUACGGGAGGCAGCAGUAGGGAAUCUUCCGCAAUGGGCGAAAGCCUGACGGAGCAACGCCGCGUGAGUGAUGAAGGUCUUCGGAUCGUAAAACUCUGUUAUUAGGGAAGAACAUAUGUGUAAGUAACUGUGCACAUCUUGACGGUACCUAAUCAGAAAGCCACGGCUAACUACGUG
RNAcentral lists this ribosomal RNA (497 nucleotides) under uncultured bacterium. RNAcentral's name for it is "partial 16S ribosomal RNA". It matches the Rfam family "Bacterial small subunit ribosomal RNA", at positions 28 to 507 of the family's 1533-position model. The record is from RNAcentral.